CCGGGAUCUUAUUUUGCAGCUUUACAGAGUAGGCUUUGUGCUAGGUGUUGUUUAUGGAGCUUUUCAAAGGCGCUUGUUUCCUUAGUUCUCAAGCCCUUUUAGAACUAAAACCAGUGUCUACACAGAAGAUCAGGAGCCAUUUAAAUUGGAGUGCUGUGAUAUAUUUUUUCUCUCCAAACUGAGUCUGAUAUCCAUGUUGACUUUCAGUAAACUAAGGAACCGCUAUAAUAAAUAACACUGAGCCCACAGAGGUUGCAGAAGAGGGUCUAGCACCCCUUUUUUAAACCAUUGAGUCUCCCAAGAAUAAAAGUGGUUACACUUGUCAGUUCUCUAAGGAAAAUCUAGUAGAGAAGGCAAGGGAUUCCCAGUUUCUCACAGAGUCUGGCACUUGUCCAAACACCUACCCUAAAGCAGAAUCGAUCAUGGCAGCUAUUAGAUUAGGACAGAAAACAGGCUCAAACGGAGAGCCACUUGAGUCUGCCUUUCUGUGUCUUUUUUCUCAACGCGCUCCAGUUAAGAUGCAGCUUACAGCCUGGCUGUGUUGACUGAGAUCCCAGAAAGAGUGCCCUUAAGGCCUUGCUGAUAAGGCCCAAUGAUCCCAAUUCAUCUAGUGUUCCGCAUAGACCCCAAGGUUACAGUGUGUGGGGACAGUGAUGUUAAGUCUUCCCUAUCCUACCUGUGGCUGACAGGUGUUGAUUAAGACAAUGAUUUUUUAGAAGUCAUAAAUCAUUUGUAUUUUUGAUGUGGGCAGUGAUUUUUAUAAAUACAUAGUUUUUUU
RNAcentral lists this long non-coding RNA (778 nucleotides) under Homo sapiens (human). Its description in RNAcentral is "HSALNT0118837". The record is from RNAcentral. Lineage: Eukaryota; Metazoa; Chordata; Mammalia; Primates; Hominidae.